GAAAUAGUUAUGAGCGCAGCCUGAUCUAGCCUGCCGCGUGAGCGAUGAAGGCCUUAGGGUUGUAAAGCUCUUUCGUGGGGGAAGAUAAUGACGGUACCCCAAGAAGAAGCCCCGGCUAACUCCGUGCCAGCAGCCGCGGUAAUUGAGCCA
This 150-nucleotide ribosomal RNA is filed under the name uncultured bacterium. RNAcentral's name for it is "partial 16S ribosomal RNA". It matches the Rfam family "Bacterial small subunit ribosomal RNA", at positions 359 to 531 of the family's 1533-position model. The record is from RNAcentral.